ACCAUGCCGUCGAGCGGAGAGAGGUAGCUUGCUACUGAUCUUAGCGGCGGACGGGUGAGUAAUGCUUAGGAAUCUGCCUAUUAGUGGGGGACAACAUUUCGAAAGGAAUGCUAAUACCGCAUACGUCCUACGGGAGAAAGCAGGGGAUCUUCGGACCHUGCGCUAAUAGAUGAGCCUAAGUCGGAUUAGCUAGUUGGUGGGGUUAAAGGCCUACCAAGGCGACGAUCUGUAGCGGGUCUGAGAGGAUGAUCCGCCACACUGGGACUGAGACACGGCCCAGACUCCUUACGGGAGGCCAGCAGUGGGGAAAUAUUGGACAAUGGGCGCAAGCCUGGAUCCAGCCAUGCCGCGGUGGUGGUGAAGAAGGCCUUAUGGUUGGUAAAGCACUUUUUAAGCCGAGGRAGGGAGGCCUACUUUUAGUUAAUUACCUAGAAUAUAGUGGGAGCCGUUUACUCCCCCAAAAAUAAAGCCACCGGGCUUAACYUCUUGUGGCCAACCAGCCCGCGGGU
This 509-nucleotide ribosomal RNA is filed under the name Acinetobacter baumannii. Its description in RNAcentral is "bacterial SSU rRNA". It matches the Rfam family "Bacterial small subunit ribosomal RNA", at positions 51 to 538 of the family's 1533-position model. Lineage: Bacteria; Pseudomonadati; Pseudomonadota; Gammaproteobacteria; Moraxellales; Moraxellaceae. The record is from RNAcentral.